GUAGGGGACAAGCGUUAUCCGGAUUUACUGGGCGUAAAGCGCCCGUAGGCAGCUUAGCAAGUUGGACGUGAAAGCUCCUGGCUUAACUGGGAGAGGCCGUACAAAACUGCCAAGCUAGAGGUUGGAAGAGGAGAGCGGAAUUCCCGGUGUAGUGGUGGAAUGCGUAGAUAUCGGGAGGAACACCAGUGGCGAAAGCGGCUCUCUGGUCCAGACCUGACGCUGAGGGGCGAAAGCGUGGGGAGCGAACGGGAUUAGAUACCCCGGUAGUCCACGCCGUAAACGAUGGAUACUAGGUGUAGGGGGACAAAACCCCCUCUGUGCCGAAGCUAACGCGUUAAGUAUCCCGCCUGGGGACUACGGCCGCAAGGUUAAA
Molecule: ribosomal RNA, 373 nt
Filed under: uncultured bacterium
Lineage: Bacteria
Description: bacterial SSU rRNA
Rfam family: Bacterial small subunit ribosomal RNA
Source: RNAcentral